UGCGUAGGUGGGUUGGUAAGUCAGUGGUGAAAUCUCCGGGCUUAACUCGGAAACUGCCAUUGAUACUAUCAGUCUUGAAUACCGUGGAGGUCAGUAGAAUAUGUCAUGUAGCGGUGAAAUGCUUAGAUAUGACAUAGAAUACCAAUUGCGAAGGCAGCUGGCUACACGAAUAUUGACACUCAGGCACGAAGCGUGGGAUCAAACA
This 205-nucleotide ribosomal RNA is filed under the name uncultured bacterium. RNAcentral's name for it is "partial 16S ribosomal RNA". It matches the Rfam family "Bacterial small subunit ribosomal RNA", at positions 568 to 774 of the family's 1533-position model. The record is from RNAcentral.